AAAAGAUUUAUCGGUGUGAGAUGGACCCGCGUCUGAUUAGCCAGUUGGCAGGGUAACGGCCUACCAAAGCGACGAUCAGUAGCCGGCCUGAGAGGGUGAACGGCCACAUUGGGACUGAGACACGGCCCAAACUCCUACGGGAGGCAGCAGUGGGGAAUAUUGCACAAUGGGGGAAACCCUGAUGCAGCGACGCCGCGUGAGUGAGGAAGUAUUUCGGUAUGUAAAGCUCUAUCAGCAGGGAAGAAAAUGACGGUACCUGACUAAGAAGCCCCGGCUAACUACGUGCCAGCAGCCGCGGUAAUACGUAGGGGGCAAGCGUUAUCCGGAUUUACUGGGUGUAAGGGGAGCGUAGACGGUGAUGCAAGUCAGAAGUGAAAGCCCGGGGCUCAACUCCGGGACUGCUUUUGAAACUGUGUAACUGGAGUGCAGGAGAGGUAAGCGGAAUUCCUAGUGUAGCGGUGAAAUGCGUAGAUAUUAGGAGGAACACCAGUGGCGAAGGCGGCUUACUGGACUGUAACUGACGUUGAGGCUCGAAAGCGUGGGGAGCAAACAGGAUUAGAUACCCUGGUAGUCCACGCCGUAAACGAUGAAGAUUAGGUGUCGGGGGACAAAGUUCUUCG
RNAcentral lists this ribosomal RNA (620 nucleotides) under uncultured bacterium. RNAcentral's name for it is "bacterial SSU rRNA". It matches the Rfam family "Bacterial small subunit ribosomal RNA", at positions 202 to 842 of the family's 1533-position model. The record is from RNAcentral.